Molecule: ribosomal RNA, 273 nt
Filed under: uncultured bacterium
Lineage: Bacteria
Description: partial 16S ribosomal RNA
Rfam family: Bacterial small subunit ribosomal RNA
Source: RNAcentral
UACAGAGGGUGCAAGCGUUGUUCGGAAUUAUUGGGCGUAAAGCGCGUGUAGGCGGCUUUGCAAGUCGGGUGUGAAAGCCCUCGGCUCAACCGAGGAAGUGCGCCCGAAACUGCAGAGCUUGAGUACCGGAGAGGAUGGCGGAAUUCCCCAAGUAGAGGUGAAAUUCGUAGAUAUGGGGAGGAACACCGGUGGCGAAGGCGGCCAUCUGGACGGAUACUGACGCUGAGACGCGAAAGCGUGGGUAGCAAACAGGAUUAGAAACCCCCGUAGUCC